UACGUAGGGAGCAAGCGUUGUUCGGAUUUACUGGGCGUAAAGGGCGCGUAGGCGGCGUGGUAAGUCACUUGUGAAAUCUCUGAGCUUAACUCAGAACGGCCAAGUGAUACUGCAGUGCUAGAGUGCAGAAAGGGCAAUCGGAAUUCUUGGUGUAGCGGUGAAAUGCGUAGAUAUCAAGAGGAACACCUGAGGCGAAGGCGGGUUGCUAGGCUGACACUGACGCUGAGUGCGCGAAAGCCAGGGGAGCAAACGGG
Molecule: ribosomal RNA, 254 nt
Filed under: uncultured bacterium
Lineage: Bacteria
Description: partial 16S ribosomal RNA
Rfam family: Bacterial small subunit ribosomal RNA
Source: RNAcentral